Molecule: non-coding RNA, 264 nt
Organism: Leptonychotes weddellii (Weddell seal)
Lineage: Eukaryota; Metazoa; Chordata; Mammalia; Carnivora; Phocidae
Source: RefSeq, a predicted model, not a curated record
CUGAGCCGAAGGCAGCCGCUCAACCGACUGAGCCACCCAGGGAAGUCUAUCACACAAAGAGAAUGCAACAUGUUAUCUGUGUAAAAUGGACUUCUGACAGCAAAUAUAUUAUGUGUGGAUCUGAUGAAAUGAACAUUCGUCUAUGGAAAGCUAAUGCUUCUGAAAAAUUGGGUGUGCUUACAUCACGAGAAAAAGCAGCCAAAGAUUAUAACCAGAAGUUGAAGGAGAAAUUUCAACAUCAUCCUCAUAUAAAACGCAUUGCUC